Gracilinanus agilis (Agile Gracile Mouse Opossum) is the source of this 633-nucleotide long non-coding RNA. RefSeq lists it as uncharacterized. Lineage: Eukaryota; Metazoa; Chordata; Mammalia; Didelphimorphia; Didelphidae. The record is from RefSeq and is a predicted model, not a curated record. The transcript has 3 exons.
AUCACUUCCCGCCUGGCUUGCCUGAUGGAUUGCAUUUGACAUUCAGAGUUCAUUAGCUAAAGAAAUCACUUACAAACAAGUCAUGGAGAAGGGAUUCAGAAGACUUCACUAGACUGUCAGAGAUCCGUGACUCAAAAAAAAGGACAAUGAUUUUGGAAGCUGGGUGGCAAAUGGAUCAGAGGAGGAAAAGACUGGAAGCCUGGAGCCCAUGAAAAAGUGUAAGAAUCCAGGUAAGUGGUAAUGAGGGCAUGAGUGAUACUGGUAGCUAUGUGAAUGAAGAUAAGGGAAGAGAAGAAAGAGAUUAUGGAGGUAGAAUGGCUACGACCUGGCAAUUGACUGGUUAUGGGGGGAGGAAAGAAUCAAGGAUGAGAUAACAAGCCAGGUUUAAUAAAUGAGUGGAUGGGGGUGCUCUCCAUAAGAAAAAGGUAUAUGGAGGAGAGUUGGUUUUAGGAUGAUGAAUCCCAUUGUAAAAACAUUGAGUAUGAGAUACUGAUGGAGAGACUAGAAAGCAGUUGGUAUUGUGGGAUUGGGUUUCACAAGUUAGUGUUGUCAAUCUUUAACAUUUGUGGGGGUAAUGUUUCCAGAAAAUGGUGUAAAAGUCAAAAAAGGAAAAUGUUGAUAUAUUGAACUAUA